This 141-nucleotide ribosomal RNA is filed under the name uncultured bacterium. Its description in RNAcentral is "partial 16S ribosomal RNA". It matches the Rfam family "Bacterial small subunit ribosomal RNA", at positions 339 to 473 of the family's 1533-position model. The record is from RNAcentral.
CUACGGGAGGCAGCAGUGGGGAAUAUUGGACAAUGGGCGAAAGCCUGAUCCAGCCAUGCCGCGUGUGUGAAGAAGGCCCUCGGGUUGUAAAGCACUUUCAGUGGGGAAGAAAGCCUCGGGAUUAAUACUCCGAGGAAGGAC